UGUGUCUUUAUUUUUGUCUGUUUAGAUUUGCCAGUGUUGAUCUCACAAACACCACUGUGGGCUUCUGCUGCUCUACAGCACAAAGCUUUGCUAGAAAUCCAGCAAGGCUGAGACCUGUUCCCUGUUACUUUGAUGUGGCUAUUGGACAGUUCCCAUUCCAUCACCCACCUCUGCCUCGAUCAGAUGGUCACUAGUGAUGAGCAUGAGGCUGAUGCUCAGCAGGACUCCAGCCCAGAGCUGUGUAUCACUGCAGACUCAGAGCCAGAGCACCAGCUGCGAUACCUGGAAAGAGAAAAGCUCUUUCUCUUCAAGCAUCCUCUCCUUGGACUUGCUACUCCCCCCAGAUCAGUUGGAUUUUGGGUGCAGGGGCAGCUGGAGGAAAGCAAAGCAGCAUGUCCAGCACUGCCCUUCUACCCCUGCUGCCCUCUGACAGCCCAGCAAGAGCUGCUUCUGCCUGAGGAUCUGGAGAGGAUUCACUGGACAGCACAGACUGAGAAUCAGUGCAGUGGAGGGGGAUUAACAGUCCCUUGGAUCCACACUUUCACUUCAGCUUUAGUGAUAAAUUUCUAG
Molecule: long non-coding RNA, 570 nt
Filed under: Taeniopygia guttata (zebra finch)
Lineage: Eukaryota; Metazoa; Chordata; Aves; Passeriformes; Estrildidae
Description: lncRNA (ENSTGUG00000024692.1)
Source: RNAcentral